CAACAGCAGUCCUUGUUAAAUCCUUAACCUUCUCUUUCUUCCUUGAUGAAAUAUAAUAAUAAUAUUUUGUCAGAAAUAACCAAGGAUCAAUCCUUCAAUAGGGAUUGGAAGGACUUGAUCCUUGACCUUCUCUUUCUUCCUCUCUCUCUCUAUCUCUCCUCCCUCGCUCUCUCUCAAUCUCUUCUCCGUUUGCGUUCUCUUCUCCUUCUUCUCUCUUUUUUUUUUUGAAAAAUUCUUCUCCUUCUUCUCGUUACGGACUCGUCGGAGACCGAAUCGCACCGGACGGUUUGAGUAAAUCGGAGCUGAUUUGAUGGAGAGUAAAUCAGAGCUGAUUUAAUGAGAGUAAAUUGGAGCUUGUACGUCUCUGGGAGAUCACGGCGAGGGAAGCUCCCUCACGACUGUAACGGGACGAUCUGUAACAGUUGAAGUGGAUCAGGAACGGCUGUAACAGUUGAAGUGGAUGAACAAGAGUUAGAGAACUGGGAACAUUGUGAAGCUAGUGAAUCCGUGUGAACCGUAUGAAAGCCACUUACUUUAUCUUCUGUGGAAUCUUCAGGUUGCUUCUAUGUUGCCAGAAGAAGCGUUUUUUGUUGUGAGGAAGUCUUUUGACGCUAGGAAGAUUCUGAAAGAAGCUAAGUUUGUGUAUAUUGUGGACUUGGAUGUGAAGACGCUACUUGAGUUACAGCCUCGCGCUCAUGAUUUUAUAUUCCGGUUAGGCCCAAGCUUGGACUUGUUGAGCAUCUUCCUCCUGAGAACUCUGUUUCUGGUGACUUGAUCAGUAUAGUAAACGAGUGUAGAAGAACCACCAACAGUGAUGCAGAGAGCAUGAACCUGUGGUUAUCAACGGCAAUGGAGGAGGAGGAAGAAGCAAACCGAGGAUUGCAGUUGUUGGUGGUGGUCCGUCUGGUUUGUUUGUAGCUCUUGUUCUUGCAGAGUUUGGUGCUGAUAUAAUGCCAGGAUCUAUUCUCAGAGAGAGAUAUAAUGCCAAGAAUUGAGUUGAGCAGAGAGAAGAAGGUCCAUUAUCAGCCUUACAAUUCAAGAAACAGAAAUGGAGGAGCUUAAAACAGUAGUACCAAACUCUCUUCUGGAACCAAGUCGUAGGGUAGAGAAAUUGCAAUAUGUCUUACUCUUAAACUGUGAUGAUUCACAAACCAAAAGCUUAACUAAUUAGAUCUGUCAUAUGUAGUUUGCUCAAUAUUUCAAUACCACUUGUUGUUGGUAGGCAAUGGGUUGAAUGUAAUUAGACUUGUGUGCAUAUAGUAUAACAAAGUUUAAAUUCCUAAGGACUCUAUAUUGAAUUAUACCAUUAGACAACAUUUUAGGGUAAAAUCCUUAACUAUUCAAAAAGCAAAAUAUAUAUAUAUUCUAUUGCUAAGGACUCCAAUGGUGGAUAACACCAUUGGAGUU
Molecule: RNA transcript, 1407 nt
Organism: Raphanus sativus (radish)
Lineage: Eukaryota; Viridiplantae; Streptophyta; Magnoliopsida; Brassicales; Brassicaceae
Exons: 3
Source: RefSeq, a predicted model, not a curated record